AGGGCCUCUUCUUCAGGGAAUGGAAGCAGCCGACUGGACCGGGAUUGGAGUGUGUCUCCCACCUGGGGGCGCCAGAGGGCACAUAUACUGCUGUACUCGUUUGUGCCACCAGAGGGCAGCCUCCGCACAUCGAUCUCUACUGCUUCCGAGAACUGUCCAAACCGGCGGGACUGAGAGAGAGAAACCUGGUCCAGGGCAGAGAAAGAGAGGAGCCCACUGCAGUGCGUGCAAGCGAUCUUCCACGCGUCCAUCCUGAAUGUGUUAAAAGCAGCAGUUAAAGAGGGAGGGCUCUGGAGUUGGACUGUUUGCGUUUGAACCCAGACUCUGGGCAAAAGCUGCUGAACCUCUCUGAAUCUAAUAGCCUCAUCUGUGAAUUGGAAGGAUACUAGCGAGGAUUAAAUGAGAGUGCAUAGGAAGGGCCUAGCCCCGGUGCCCAGCACAGAGGCUCCAUAUGUGUCACCGUUGUCAAUUUCUGACUCAUGUAUUCAUCUAUUCAUUCACUUCUCAAACCAUCCUCUCGGCGUCAUGCAGUGCCUGCUGUAUUCUGGGUACUGUGGCAGGUCGGUGAUGAUGUAAACAGAGAUGGCGGCCAGGGACGGUGGCUCAAGCCUGUAAUCCCAGGCCUUUGGGAGGCUGAGGCGGAAGGAUCACUUGAGCCCAGGAGUUCGAGACCAGCCUGGGCAACAAAGUGAGACCCUGUCUCUACAAAAAACAAUAAUAAAAAAAACAUUAGUCAGGUGUGGUGGUGCACAUCUGUAGUUCCAGCUACACAGAAGGCUGAGGCAGGAGGAUCGUUUGAGCCUAGGAGGUCGAGGCUGCAGUGAGCCGUGAUGGCGCCACUGCACUCCAGCCUGGGCAACAGAGCAAGAUCCUGUCUCCAAAAAAAAAAAAAAAAAAAAAAAAAGGUGAGAAAGACACGUAUCAAAAUAGUGUGCUAAGAGUUACGAUACACCCAAUGAGGGGAGAAGGGAGAUUGACUUGGAUGGGGCAAAAACGAACGUUCUGGGGUGACAGAAACAUUAUAUAUCUGUAUUGUGGUGGUCAAAUGCUAUAUAAAUUUCCAAAAACUCAUUGAAAUGUAUAUUUAACACUUUAUUGUAGGCAAACUGUAACUCAACAAAGCUGAUUUGAAAAAAAGCA
Molecule: long non-coding RNA, 1140 nt
Organism: Homo sapiens (human)
Lineage: Eukaryota; Metazoa; Chordata; Mammalia; Primates; Hominidae
Exons: 2
Source: RefSeq, a predicted model, not a curated record